UACAGAGGUGGCAAGCGUUGUUCGGAAUUACUGGGCGUAAAGCGUGCGUAGGUGGUUCGUUAAGUCUGAUGUGAAAGCCCUGGGCUCAACCUGGGAAUGGCAUUGGAAACUGGCGACCUAGAGUGCGGUAGAGGGCAGUGGAAUUCCCGGUGUAGCAGUGAAAUGCGUAGAGAUCGGGAGGAACAUCUGUGGCGAAGGCGACUGCCUGGACCAGCACUGACACUGAGGCACGAAAGCGUGGGGAGCGAACAGG
Molecule: ribosomal RNA, 253 nt
Filed under: uncultured bacterium
Lineage: Bacteria
Description: partial 16S ribosomal RNA
Rfam family: Bacterial small subunit ribosomal RNA
Source: RNAcentral